This 253-nucleotide ribosomal RNA is filed under the name uncultured bacterium. RNAcentral's name for it is "partial 16S ribosomal RNA". It matches the Rfam family "Bacterial small subunit ribosomal RNA", at positions 524 to 776 of the family's 1533-position model. The record is from RNAcentral.
UACGGGGGGGGCAAGCGUUGUUCGGAAUUACUGGGCGUAAAGGGCUCGUAGGCGGCCAACUAAGUCGGAUGUGAAAUCCCCAGGCUUAACCUGGGAACUGCAUCCGAUACUGGAUGGCUUGAAUCCGGGAGAGGGAUGCAGAAUUCCAGGUGUAGCGGUGAAAUGCGUAGAUAUUGGGAGGAACACCAGUGGCGAAGGCGGCUCACUGGACCGGUACUGACGCUGAGGAGCGAAAGCCAGGGGAGCAAACGGG